UAGAGUUUGAUCAUGGCUCAGAACGAACGCUGGCGGCAUGCCUAAUACAUGCAAGUCGAACGAGAUCUUCGGAUCUAGUGGCGCACGGGUGCGUAACGCGUGGGAAUCUGCCCUUGGGUUCGGAAUAACGUCGGGAAACUGACGCUAAUACCGGAUGAUGACGAAAGUCCAAAGAUUUAUCGCCCAGGGAUGAGCCCGCGUAGGAUUAGCUAGUUGGUGAGGUAAAGGCUCACCAAGGCUACGAUCCUUAGCUGGUCUGAGAGGAUGAUCAGCCACACUGGGACUGAGACACGGCCCAGACUCCUACGGGAGGCAGCAGUAGGGAAUAUUGGACAUGGGGGCAACCCUGAUCCAGCAUGCCGCGUGAGUGAUGAAGGCCUUAGGGUUGUAAAGCUCUUUUACCCGAGAUGAUAAUGACAGUAUCGGGAGAAUAAGCUCCGGCUAACUCCGUGUCAGCAGCCGCGGUAAUAC
Molecule: ribosomal RNA, 471 nt
Filed under: uncultured Sphingobium sp.
Lineage: Bacteria; Pseudomonadati; Pseudomonadota; Alphaproteobacteria; Sphingomonadales; Sphingobiaceae
Description: bacterial SSU rRNA
Rfam family: Bacterial small subunit ribosomal RNA
Source: RNAcentral